GAGUUUGAUCCUGGCUCAGAUUGAACGCUGGCGGCAGGCCUAACACAUGCAAGUCGAGCGGUAGAGAGGUGCUUGCACCUCUUGAGAGCGGCGGACGGGUGAGUAAUGCCUAGGAAUCUGCCUGGUAGUGGGGGAUAACGCUCGGAAACGGACGCUAAUACCGCAUACGUCCUACGGGAGAAAGCAGGGGACCUUCGGGCCUUGCGCUAUCAGAUGAGCCUAGGUCGGAUUAGCUAGUUGGUGAGGUAAUGGCUCACCAAGGCGACGAUCCGUAACUGGUCUGAGAGGAUGAUCAGUCACACUGGAACUGAGACACGGUCCAGACUCCUACGGGAGGCAGCAGUGGGGAAUAUUGGACAAUGGGCGAAAGCCUGAUCCAGCCAUGCCGCGUGUGUGAAGAAGGUCUUCGGAUUGUAAAGCACUUUAAGUUGGGAGGAAGGGCAGUAAAUUAAUACUUUGCUGUUUUGACGUUACCGACAGAAUAAGCACCGGCUAACUCUGUGCCAGCAGCCGCGGUAAUACAGAGGGUGCAAGCGUUAAUCGGAAUUACUGGGCGUAAAGCGCGCGUAGGUGGUCCGUUAAAUUGGAUGUGAAAUCCCCGGGCUCAACCUGGGAACUGCAUUCAAAACUGUCGAGCUAGAGUAUGGUAGAGGGUGGUGGAAUUUCCUGUGUAGCGGUGAAAUGCGUAGAUAUAGGAAGGAACACCAGUGGCGAAGGCGACCACCUGGACUGAUACUGACACUGAGGUGCGAAAGCGAGGGGAGCAAACAGGAUUAGAUACCUGGUAGUCACGCCGUAAACGAUGUCAACUAGCCGUUGGGAGCCUUGAGCUCUUAGUGGCGCAGCUAACGCAUUAAGUUGACCGCCUGGGGAGUACGGCCGCAAGGUUAAAACUCAAAUGAAUUGACGGGGGCCCGCACAAGCGGUGGAGCAGUGGUUUAAUUCGAAGCGACGCGAAGAACCUUACCAGGCCUUGACAUCCAAUGAACUUUCCAGAGAUGGAUUGGUGCCUUCGGGAACAUUGAGACAGGUGCUGCAUGGCUGUCGUCAGCUCGUGUCGUGAGAUGUUGGGUUAAGUUCCGUAACGAGCGCAACCCUUGUCCUUAGUUACCAGCACGUAAUGGUGGGCACUCUAAGGAGACUGCCGGUGACAAACCGGAGGAAGGUGGGGAUGACGUCAAGUCAUCAUGGCCCUUACGGCCUGGGCUACACACGUGCUACAAUGGUCGGUACAGAGGGUUGCCAAGCCGCGAGGUGGAGCUAAUCCCACAAAACCGAUCGUAGUCCGGAUCGCAGUCUGCAACUCGACUGCGUGAAGUCGGAAUCGCUAGUAAUCGCGAAUCAGAAUGUCGCGGUGAAUACGUUCCCGGGCCUUGUACACACCGCCCGUCACACCAUGGGAGUGGGUUGCACCAGAAGUAGCUAGUCUAACCUUCGGGAGGACGGUUACCACGGUGUGAUUCAUGACUGGGGUGAAGUCGUAACAAGGUAACC
Molecule: ribosomal RNA, 1494 nt
Filed under: uncultured bacterium
Lineage: Bacteria
Description: bacterial SSU rRNA
Rfam family: Bacterial small subunit ribosomal RNA
Source: RNAcentral